RNAcentral lists this ribosomal RNA (55 nucleotides) under Lentinus brumalis. Its description in RNAcentral is "partial 28S ribosomal RNA". Lineage: Eukaryota; Fungi; Basidiomycota; Agaricomycetes; Polyporales; Polyporaceae. The record is from RNAcentral.
CUGACCUCAAAUCAGGUAGGACUACCCGCUGAACUUAACCAUAUCAAUAAGCGGA